RNAcentral lists this unclassified non-coding RNA (400 nucleotides) under fungal sp. RNAcentral describes it as "partial internal transcribed spacer region". The stretch from base 1 to 46 matches the Rfam family "Eukaryotic small subunit ribosomal RNA", at positions 1786 to 1831 of the family's 1831-position model. The record is from RNAcentral. Lineage: Eukaryota; Fungi.
AAGUCGUAACAAGGUUUCCGUAGGUGAACCUGCGGAAGGAUCAUUAACACGUAUCCAACGUUAAACCCCCUGUGAACCUUCAUUGUGCUCGUCCACCCCGUCAUAAACCGGCAAUCCCUGGUAAAUCAUCGCCGAACAGUUUUGAUUCAGGGACCUCUGGGAAGGGUGUACAGUAGUGCGAGGCAAUUGACCUGGCAUUCCUCUGCUUGUUAGUGUCUGAAAGUGUCACUAGCUAUGUACGGAUGGCGCAGUAACGAUCGCUGGAGGCCGACACGGCCGGCGACCAGGUCACUGGGCUACGGCCCCCCUGAUCACAACCUUUGCAUGAAAACGGGCCUGCGCUGAGGUGCGGCCACCCCUAAUGCUUGAACAACUGUUAACAAUGGAUAUCUUGGUUCUC